AUUGAACGCUGGCGGCAGGCCUAACACAUGCAAGUCGAGCGGAUGAAGGGAGCUUGCUCCUGGAUUCAGCGGCGGACGGGUGAGUAAUGCCUAGGAAUCUGCCUGGUAGUGGGGGAUAACGUCCGGAAACGGGCGCUAAUACCGCAUACGUCCUGAGGGAGAAAGUGGGGGAUCUUCGGACCUCACGCUAUCAGAUGAGCCUAGGUCGGAUUAGCUAGUUGGUGGGGUAAUGGCCUACCAAGGCGACGAUCCGUAACUGGUCUGAGAGGAUGAUCAGUCACACUGGAACUGAGACACGGUCCAGACUCCUACGGGAGGCGGCAGUGGGGAAUAUUGGACAAUGGGCGAAAGCCUGAUCCGGCCAUGCCGCGUGUGUGAAGAAGGUCUUCGGAUUGUAAAGCACUUUAAGUUGGGAGGAAGGGCAGUAAGUUAAUACCUUGCUGUUUUGACGUUACCAACAGAAUAAGCACCGGCUAACUUCGUG
RNAcentral lists this ribosomal RNA (484 nucleotides) under uncultured bacterium. RNAcentral's name for it is "partial 16S ribosomal RNA". It matches the Rfam family "Bacterial small subunit ribosomal RNA", at positions 30 to 507 of the family's 1533-position model. The record is from RNAcentral.